This 491-nucleotide ribosomal RNA is filed under the name uncultured bacterium. RNAcentral's name for it is "partial 16S ribosomal RNA". It matches the Rfam family "Bacterial small subunit ribosomal RNA", at positions 29 to 506 of the family's 1533-position model. The record is from RNAcentral.
AGUGAACGCUGGCGGUAGGCCUAACACAUGCAAGUCGAACGGCAGCACAGUAAGAGCUUGCUCUUACGGGUGGCGAGUGGCGGACGGGUGAGGAAUACAUCGGAAUCUACUUUUUCGUGGGGGAUAACGUAGGGAAACUUACGCUAAUACCGCAUACGACCUACGGGUGAAAGCAGGGGAUCUUCGGACCUUGCGCGAUUGAAUGAGCCGAUGUCGGAUUAGCUAGUUGGCGGGGUAAAGGCCCACCAAGGCGACGAUCCGUAGCUGGUCUGAGAGGAUGAUCAGCCACACUGGAACUGAGACACGGUCCAGACUCCUACGGGAGGCAGCAGUGGGGAAUAUUGGACAAUGGGCGCAAGCCUGAUCCAGCCAUACCGCGUGGGUGAAGAAGGCCCUCGGGUUGUAAAGCCCUUUUGUUGGGAAAGAAAAGCAGCAGGUUAAGACCCCGCUGUUCUGACGGUACCCAAAGAAUAAGCACCGGCUAACUUCGU